GAAGCGCUGGGGCUGUGAGGAAUUGGCACAGCCCGAGGUGUUGGUGCGCUUUCCAGGAGCUCAGGUGAGCUCCGAACGAGAUGCCUCAAACGGGAGCGUCCCUUAAAACUGAGCGAGUUUCUGAAGCUGGCAAGCAAAGAGCCUGGAUCGUACGGACACUGAUGCUGCCAAAAGCAGAAAGAAUGCAGUCAGCCUCUUGAAAGCAAAGUAACUCCCAGGGCACUGCUUGUCAAGACUCUUCAGAGCAUUCUCUUCUGUGGAUUCUCAGGCACGUAGGAUGGCUGUCUGUUAUUGACAUUGCUGCCAUGGCUGUGGAGCAGAGGAGCUACUGUGGGUGUGCAUCACACUCACACCUGGACCUUUGCAACUCCAUUUCCCAUGCAGAAAAUUUGUUUUGAAAGGAUCCAUGAAGAUGACCCCUGACAUAUUCCAUUGAUUUCAUCACUGAAAAAAAUCUUGGUGAUAUCUGGCAAAGUCAUGGGGAUAAUAUAGAUGCCCAUAGAUGGCUGUGUAGAAGGGUCUUGGGUCCAGAGGAAGUGAGAAGAGGAAAACAGGAGAUAAUCCCAAACUAAAUGGAAACAAUGGAAGUAGCAAGGAGAGAAAAGAAAGGAAAAAGUAAAAAAUGAAGAAAUGAAAGCUGCCUGUCCUGCUGGUGACAGAGAUGUACCUUCCUGGGCAUAACAGCCACAUGCACAAGAUGGUAGAGGAGAUCUCAAGACUCAGAUUCACAGAAUACAGGAAUUAACUGAGAGAGACAUCAGCAGAAAGUAUGAAAAUAUUCAGACAUGAAGAAAGAGCACAUUACAGACAAGAACCAGGGCAGAAGAAGCUGUGCUUAUACCACAGAAGCUGCUGAAGUGCUGGUCCUUCCUUAAGAAUAUUUACAACCAUGCUGGAAGCUUGAGGACACACCCAGCAGAUCAAACAAGAGCAAGAUGAAGAUCUUGUUGCACAAUAUUAUAGAAAUAAUAUGCAAUAUCAAUAGUGGUAGCUUCUCUUUUUGCUCAUGGUUUAUCAAGGCUUUCAGUCUACUAAUCUGUUUUC
Long non-coding RNA from Serinus canaria (Common canary), 1044 nucleotides. RefSeq lists it as uncharacterized. The transcript is spliced from 7 exons. NCBI's taxonomy places the organism in Eukaryota, Metazoa, Chordata, Aves, Passeriformes, Fringillidae. The record is from RefSeq and is a predicted model, not a curated record.